CUUCACAACACAUAACCCGGUCCAGUCGAGCCUCACUAGCCAGAUGAAGCUAGUUGGCUGCUUAUAACGGAAACUUUCGGCAACAGGGGGCUGAGUCACUGGCUUACUGGUGCUCUUCCAUGCCAUCCUUAGGAGGGGUGCAUUACUUGAGUGUGUUGAGUCGCUGAUGUGGUCUUCCUGUCUGGGUUGGCGUCCCCCCUUGGGUUGUGCCGUGGCGGAGAUCUUUGUGAGCUAUACUCGACCUUGUCUCAGGAUGGACCUGAGCCCUAGGACCAUGCCUCGGAAAUACCUGGCAUGAUGACUUCUUGCUGUCCCCAGUCCACCUGGCCGUGCUGCUGCUCCAGUUUAGUUUCAACUGUUCAACUGCCUGCGGUUCAACUGCGGCUAUGGAACCCUGACCUGUUCACCGGACAUGCUACCUUCCCAGACCUGCUGUUUUCAACUCUCUAGAGACAACAGGAGCAGUAGAGAUACUUUCAAUUAUCGGCUAUGAAAAGCCAACUG
Oncorhynchus mykiss (rainbow trout) is the source of this 504-nucleotide long non-coding RNA. RefSeq lists it as uncharacterized. The record is from RefSeq and is a predicted model, not a curated record. NCBI's taxonomy places the organism in Eukaryota, Metazoa, Chordata, Actinopteri, Salmoniformes, Salmonidae.